UUAAAUACACUGUGUAGCACGAUAUUACAGGCUUUCUAUAUGAGAGUUUUUAUGCUAUAUUCACAGGCAGACAGUUCCCCAAGAGGAAUGAAUAGGGAAGAGUGCUACACUGAACACUUUUGGACUUGGCUUCAGAAUACUGACUACAUAGAACAGACGAUCCCAAAAGCAUGUUCCAGGGACAGAGGAAUGAGCUUAGCAAGAUCUUGACUGAGGAACCUCACAACAGGCUUGGACAGAGAACCAUCAUCCCCUGAAGAGUGGCAACUGGAUGGAGCAACCCAGGAGGUGUCUCCUUAGAGGGGGGAGUCAGAAGUCCUUGUGCACAGAAGACUGUGAAAGAAUAAGAAAACAGCCCAAAAAGGGAGCACAGGAUUGCUCUUCAAAAUAAAGUAAAGUAAGAUAAAAUAAAGUAAAAUACUGAUUCUACUUGAUGAUUGGAACUUUUCUAACUGAACAGUGUCAUCAGAAAAUGACAAUUUCAUGAACAUGGCUUGGGUUUGACGCACAUGUUCAAUUGUACAUAGGGUCCAAGUAGAACCUGAUGGGUUUUUGAUAGGCUUCUGGGCAGCCGAGGCUUCUAAGUCUGUGGUAGCCCUGCCACAUCAGACCUUUCUUGUUCUGUUCGUUAGUGUAAUGGUAACUUUCAGCAGAUGCUAUGUUGGUUUUUUUUAACUAUAUCCCCAUUCCCCCCAAACAAUGAAAUUUGCCUGUGUCUGUGGGGUAACACACUCAAAGUAAUAGGUGCCUGGUCCAAAGUGUCGGAGGAAGGACUGCAGGGGUCUUGUAUCUGACCUUAGAUGAGGGAAGGUAAUUUUAACUGCCAUGAUAGACAUGGAGACUAAGAACAGAAAAUGGUAUUUCUCUGAAAAUGUCUCCUAGGCAAAGACCUACCUUUCACCAUACUGCACAACACCUCAUUUUUAUUCAGAGACUCAGGCUGAAAUCCAGGCCCUAUGGAAGUCAGUGCCAGUUUGACCAUUUUGUUGAUUGGAAGUAAGGAUUUUCCCUUUGAAUCUAUUCUUCUAUACAUAAAGCAGCCUUUAAGGCUAGGGACACACAUUACACAUAAACCAGUUCAAGUGAUCAAAACUGAUUUAAACCUGUAACCGAACGUAUGUUCAGUGCACAUACACUGGUAUGAAAAUGGCUGAAACCAGUUUAAGAUAAAUCUGGUUGAAUGUAGUAUCAGACUCAACUGAUUUGGCUCAAACCUGUUUAUGCAAUGUCUUUCCCAGAACACUUGCUGGCUUAAAUUAUAUCAGACUCCCCCAGCAUCCCAGCAUGCUCUGCCUGGGCAGGGCUCUCUGCUCCACAGCAGGGCUGGCUCCUCCCUUUGGCUCCCUGGCUGCAUCUUGGCACAGACUG
This is a long non-coding RNA of Alligator mississippiensis (American alligator), 1368 nucleotides long. RefSeq lists it as uncharacterized. The transcript is spliced from 3 exons. The record is from RefSeq and is a predicted model, not a curated record. NCBI's taxonomy places the organism in Eukaryota, Metazoa, Chordata, Crocodylia, Alligatoridae.